CCUACGGGAGGCAGCAGUGAGGAAUAUUGGUCAAUGGGCGGAAGCCUGAACCAGCCAAGUAGCGUGCGGGAUGAAGGCCCUACGGUUCGUAAACCGCUUUUGCACGGGGAUAACACCCUCCACUUGUGGAGGUCUGCAGGUACCGUGCGAAUAAGGGCCGGCUAAUUCCGUUCCAGCAGCCGCGGUAAUACGGAAGGGCCGAGCGUUAUCCGGAUUCAUUGGGCUUAAGGGGAGCGUAGGCGGGCGUUCAAGUCGGCGGGAAAAUCGCGCGGCUCAACCGCGCCCCGCAGUUGAAACUGGAGGCCUUGAGUUCACAACAGGCAGGCGGAAUUCGUGGUGUAGCGGUGAAAUGCAUAGAUAUCACGAGGAACCCCGAUGGCGAAGGCAGCCUGCCGGGGUGCGACUGACGCUGAGGCUCGAAGGUGCGGGUAUCAAACAGGAUUAGAUACCCUUGUAGUC
This 459-nucleotide ribosomal RNA is filed under the name uncultured bacterium. RNAcentral's name for it is "partial 16S ribosomal RNA". It matches the Rfam family "Bacterial small subunit ribosomal RNA", at positions 338 to 795 of the family's 1533-position model. The record is from RNAcentral.